CCUUAUUUUCCUAUAAAGACAGUGAAGAUUUCAAAGAGAGACUUCAGGAGCCAAUCAAUGUCUGAGACAGCCUUCACCUCUCAAGACUUAGGAUUUAUUGUGCAGCAUACAUUACUUGAGAUCAGUUUUUUAAAGAAGACUAUUUUAGGAUCAAUGAUUUCUGUGCGACGUGAAUCUAUUAAUUAAGAGAUUUCUGAAGACUGAUUUGGGACAAACAACAUGGUGGAUCAUCACAGCCUAUGGAUACAAAGAACUCUGCAACACUGUUCCAGGAUCAGUCAUCAUGAGUUGUGUCUGUGCUCUCAUAUGACCUGACAUGCAUGUCGUUACCUUCAUUGGACUUUCAAGCUCAUCACCUGGACUGAUUCCAGCUGCAAAACCAAGGUUAACAAUAAAGACAGCAAGUGCAUGUCUGUUCUUAAGCAUGAAGGUGUGUUUGCACAUUAAAGAGGUGACGUGGUUUAUUGCCAGCUGUAAGGAAGUAGGAAGAAGUGAACUUUGAUUACUUUGUGUGAGAAGCUUGUAAAGCACAAGGCUCUAACACACAAGGAUUUUUAAUAAACUGUGUGUGGCAUGAACGGAAGGAGGUGUUAUUCAAUUCUGUGAAGUAGAGCAAAACAAGGGAUGUGAUUGUGUGUGUUUGUUAUGGAUCUGCCGUUUUCAGGUUUUGAGUUGGUCUUCAUCUUCAUUGCUUUUACCAUCAUGUGCUUAUUCGGCCUGGCUGCUGUCUACAGACAUAAUACAGAUUAUCAAGAUGACUACACAGAGCAGAAGCCAGAACGAAAGAACUCACAGAAAAAACAGCGUGCUCUCAUCAAAACAAAUCAAGAGCCACCAUGAACACACAAACAUAUGCAGUAAAUCUCAUUUAAUACUGUCAAGAGCAUUUUUUACUUUUUGGAACCUCUCCAUGAGUGCUCAUUGGACAAAACAGGUCUGGCUCAGUUAACCACGUGACAAGCUGUGUUUGAAGAUGUCCGUCAAGAGACGAGAGACUGAAAAUGGACUUGUUAUUAACCUCAUCUUUUAGGUCAUCCUCAAGACGCAUACAUUUCCCUCUCAUCUGUCUCUGAUUGGCUUGAAUGUAUAUGACCCCAAUACAUAAUUAACCAAGAAAGGCAAAGAGGAUUUAAUAAAAGCUCAACUCUUACCCUUUCCCCAUCUAAAUGAGCUUAAAAUGAAAAAUAUGAUGAUUUAAAACCUGUCUGGAGAAUUUAUGUUUUCAAGGAGCUUAGAUUUUGGUGAGCAAAUUGCCUUUCGCACUUCUAUAGGCUAGAGAUGGUCCAGGAUUUACACAGCAAAUUCCAAAUAAUUACAGGUUCAGUUGAGAUGACCCAGGCACUGGAAAGUCAGUUAUUAAAAUCUGUGCCCCGGAGCAAGGCAAUUAACCACAGUGCUCCAGGAUUGCUCUCUGCAAUUACGGUAGACUGCUUUAAGUCACUUUGAAUGAAAAGUGUCUGCUAACUAACUGCUAACAUAAUGGAUUAUGGCCAUUGAGCGAUCUUGAAAAUGGGAGUGAAUUCCUUCCACAGUGUAUGCGCUUAAUCUUAAAAUGUUACGUGAUGUAAAUAUCCAUUGGAUAAACUGGAUCUGGUGAAGAGACAUAAAGGAAAGCACUCUGGUGCAAAACAACCUUAUAUUGUUUCUAGGAAUGUAUGGAAAUGAGGUUAGACUAUUGUCUGGUAUCAUGACCAAGUGUGCUGUAUGUAAUUAUCAGGGUAAAAGGCUUUUGGGGAACUUCUCAGCAGCUGCAGGACAAUUUCAAGUGCAAAUUCAACAGCGAUGAAUGAAGUUCACAAAGUCAAAUUCAUGUUCUAAUAGUACAGCACAAAGAGCAAAUUCUAAAAUAUUUCAUUCAAGCAUUUCAUUCAAACUCAAUUAAAAUAAUUUGUUCGUAUAGUAACCAUUCAGAAAACUGCUAUUUUAUGACAAUUUUCUGGUGUUGACAAACUAAGCACUAUAUAGUGUUAUACUACAGUGUUGCUGUGUUGCAGCUUAGAUUUUUCUGGUGACAUUUUACAAUAAGGUUGUAUUCAUUAACAUUAGUUAACUUUAACUAACAAUGAUUAAUAAUUUUUUAGCACUUAUUAAUCUUGGUUAAAGUUCAUUUAAAAAUAAACUAAUUCAUUUUAAAAAUAAAAAGUUGUACAUGUUAAAAUUAGUUAAUGCAUUAUGAACUAACAUGAACUAACAAAUGAACAAUUGUAUUUUUAUAAUUUAACUUUAACUUUACUCAGAUUAAUUAAUGCAGUAAAAAUAUAUUGUUCAUUGUUAGUUCAUGAUACUUAAUUUUACAAGGUUUUGGGGGAUGAAUAUGUAAUUUAAGUUCAUAUCCAAAGGUUGUCAUUAUCAUGUAAUUUUGUGUUUCACUCUGACACCACGUCACCUUUAGAACCUUAUUUUAAAAUGCUACCGAUUUUUCUUCUUCAACAAAUGAUUCAAUAUCAGUUGUUCUACUUUUGUACUCAUAUACAGUUCCACUCUUCAAUUAAUAUUGCGUUGGGUUUCACACAGUUUUAUGACAUUUAAAAACUUUUUAUGAACUUUUUAAUAAAAAUGUAGCUGGAUAAACAUGAGUCUUUCAUAAUGAAUAGUACAUUUCUAUUGUAUCUAUGGAAAGGGUACUGCAUAUGGGGCCCCCUCUAAUGGUAAAGAGUGAAACUACAUAUCUGAUGUUAUUUCAUUCCUGAUUCUGAAGUCUGAGAUGAGACCGCAUUGUAAAUCA
This is a long non-coding RNA of Myxocyprinus asiaticus (Chinese sucker), 2725 nucleotides long. RefSeq lists it as uncharacterized. The transcript is spliced from 3 exons. Lineage: Eukaryota; Metazoa; Chordata; Actinopteri; Cypriniformes; Catostomidae. The record is from RefSeq and is a predicted model, not a curated record.